GGCGAACAGUUCACCACAGUUCACCUGGCCAGAGCAUAAGGAGAAGACAGUUCACUGGGCCAGCAUGUGAGGGGGACAGUUCACUCA
Non-coding RNA from Eptesicus fuscus (big brown bat), 87 nucleotides. The record is from RefSeq and is marked provisional. NCBI's taxonomy places the organism in Eukaryota, Metazoa, Chordata, Mammalia, Chiroptera, Vespertilionidae.